RNAcentral lists this ribosomal RNA (158 nucleotides) under Scheffersomyces segobiensis. RNAcentral's name for it is "5.8S rRNA". It matches the Rfam family "5.8S ribosomal RNA". From Rfam's summary of the family: 5.8S ribosomal RNA (5.8S rRNA) is a component of the large subunit of the eukaryotic ribosome. It is transcribed by RNA polymerase I as part of the 45S precursor that also contains 18S and 28S rRNA. Functionally, it is thought that 5.8S rRNA may be involved in ribosome translocation. The record is from RNAcentral. Lineage: Eukaryota; Fungi; Ascomycota; Pichiomycetes; Serinales; Debaryomycetaceae.
AAACUUUCAACAACGGAUCUCUUGGUUCUCGCAUCGAUGAAGAACGCAGCGAAAUGCGAUAAGUAAUAUGAAUUGCAGAUUUUCGUGAAUCAUCGAAUCUUUGAACGGACAUUGCGCCCUUUGGUAUUCCAAAGGGCAUGCCUGUUUGAGCGUCAUUU